CCCCUCUCAGGGUCGCACCUGGAGAGUUUUCAGUACUCUACCAGUCUCGACUAAGGGAGGGGAAGUCAAGCAGAGGCAUACCCAUUUCAUUCCUAGCUUGACCAGUGGCUAGUGGGUGGAAGGCAAUCUUCUAUAAGU
Small nucleolar RNA from Ornithorhynchus anatinus (platypus), 138 nucleotides. NCBI's taxonomy places the organism in Eukaryota, Metazoa, Chordata, Mammalia, Monotremata, Ornithorhynchidae. The record is from RefSeq and is a predicted model, not a curated record.